RNAcentral lists this ribosomal RNA (938 nucleotides) under uncultured bacterium. RNAcentral's name for it is "bacterial SSU rRNA". It matches the Rfam family "Bacterial small subunit ribosomal RNA", at positions 8 to 968 of the family's 1533-position model. The record is from RNAcentral.
AGAGUUUGAUCCUGGCUCAGGAUGAACGCUAAGGCUUAACACUGCAAGUCGAACGAUGAAGCACCUUCGGGUGUGAAUUAGCGGCGAACGGGUGAGGAACACGUGAAGAAUCUGCCUUCAACUCUGGGAUAACUCCGGGAAACCGGGGCUAAUACCGGAUAUGAGCCUUGAUCGCAUGAUCGGGGCUGGAAAGUUUUUCGGUUGAAGAUGACUUCGCGGCCUAUCAGCUUGUUGGUGAGGUAAUGGCUCACCAAGGCGACGACGGGUAGCCGGCCUGAGAGGGCGACCGGCCACACUGGGACUGAGACACGGCCCAGACUCCUACGGGAGGCAGCAGUGGGGAAUAUUGGGCAAUGGAGGAAACUCUGACCCAGCGACGCCGCGUGAGGGAUGAAGGCCUUCGGGUUGUAAACCUCUUUCAGUAGGGAAGAAGCGAAAGUGACGGUACCUACAGAAGAAGCACCGGCUAACUAUGUGCCAGCAGCCGCGGUAAUACAUAGGGUGCAAGCGUUGUCCGGAAUUAUUGGGCGUAAAGAGCUCGUAGGUGGUUCGACACGUCGGAUGUGAAAAUCAGGGGCUCAACCCCUGACCUGCAUCCGAUACGGUCGAGCUAGAGUUUGGUAGGGGAGACUGGAAUUCCUGGUGUAGCGGUGGAAUGCGCAGAUAUCAGGAGGAACACCGAUGGCGAAGGCAGGUCUCUGGGCCAAUACUGACACUGAGGAGCGAAAGCGUGGGGAGCGAACAGGAUUAGAUACCCUGGUAGUCCACGCCGUAAACGGUGGGCGCUAGUUGUGCGAACCUUCCACGGUUUGUGCGACGCAGCUAACGCAUUAAGCGCCCCGCCUGGGGAGUACGAUCGCAAGAUUAAAACUCAAAGGAAUUGACGGGGCCCCGCACAAGCAGCGGAGCAUGCGGCUUAUUCGACGCAACGCGAAGAA